CCUGUCGCCAACAUUCCUUCGUUCCCCUAAAUCAGCCUCUUGCCCCAUUGCUCUUUGGAGGGGUGGAAGAAGGAAGUGUAGCGGGCCCUCAGAUUCAUCGCUACCCCGAGGCUAAGCGCCAUGCCUCAUAUUGACAACGAUGUGAAACUGGACUUCAAGGAUGUCCUUUUGAGGCCCAAACGCAGUACCCUUAAGUCUCGAAGUGAGGUGGAUCUCACAAGAUCCUUUUCAUUUCGGAACUCAAAGCAGACAUACACUGGGGUUCCCAUCAUUGCUGCCAAUAUGGAUACUGUGGGCACCUUUGAGAUGGCCAAGGUCCUCUUUCUCUCUCUUCACUGCUGUCCAUAAGCACUAUAGCCUCGAUCAGUGGCAAGAGUUUGCUGGCCAGAAUCCUGACUGUCU
Molecule: small RNA, 402 nt
Filed under: Pongo abelii (Sumatran orangutan)
Lineage: Eukaryota; Metazoa; Chordata; Mammalia; Primates; Hominidae
Description: processed transcript
Source: RNAcentral